RNAcentral lists this long non-coding RNA (1154 nucleotides) under Triticum aestivum (bread wheat). RNAcentral describes it as "long non-coding RNA (TAES_LNC021545)". Lineage: Eukaryota; Viridiplantae; Streptophyta; Magnoliopsida; Poales; Poaceae. The record is from RNAcentral.
UAGGGGAACUUGGAGGGCAUCAUUGGAAUAUCGACAUUCUGAAGAACAGAGGGUCCGGUGAUCAAUCAGGCCUCGUGUUCGUCCAAUAUGCAUGUGUUAUAUACAAAAAAACUGUUGAUCCUAUAUAACUUCUCUAGCAACCGAUGUGUAAACCAUGUUAGACUAACACAAAUCACACGUGAAAAAUAGUUCUUUUGAAAUUUACUAGUUUCUUAUUGGAACGUGUAUACUUAUGUUCAGUGGCGAAUCUACAGGGCAGGCUUUAGCAGGCUCGAGCCUGCCCUCCAGCGCUGCCAAUUCUUUUUUUUUUCUACUACACUUAAGGCCCAGCCCAGCCAAACGCCCCCACACCACUUGUUCGCUGGCUCGCUCGCACGAGGCCGUUGCUGCUUUCCAUCCUCCCAGAGAGCACGCACGAGGCUGCUACCAUUACUAUAUUAUUAUAGUUCGAACCAUGGCAAUUUUGCUAAAGUCUAACAUUUGAUAAGUUUCAAAUAAUUCCAAAAAAUUACAGUAAAUACUAUGUGUGCCCAGUAGUAUCUGGGAAAUUCUGAGGUAAUUUGGGUUGCAAGAUUUUGAGAUAUUGGCUAUUUUGCUAAACAUAACCAAUUUUCGGUUCAAAAUUUUAUAUUUUGAAAAAAUUCUGAAACAAUUCUAGUGCAUAGUACAGUACAUGUUUUCAGUAGUAUUCUGGUAAAUUUUGACCUUUGAAAAAAAGAAUUGAGAGUCAGUGUUUUUUUUCACACCGUUACUUUGAGCCCGCCCUCAAUUUUCUUCCAAGAUAUUGUGGUGAAAGAAAACUAUAAAAACAUGUAAUUGUGCAUCUCUUAAAUAAAUGUUAAUUAAUAAUAAAUCAAAUCUAUUGAAUGACACAUAAUUUAUAAGCCCGUAUAUCUUGUACAAUUCGAUCUAAUUUUUAUUUUUAUUUUCAGGAAACAUGCACAACUCGAUGAUAAGCACCAUGCUAUUUCUUUGAGUGAAGAAUAUUAGAACAGCACGUAAAACACAAACUCUUUAAGCAUGAGCACCUUCUCAACAGUACAGAGUGAUACCAAGAAUUAAAGAAGGGACCACGACAAUUAUGCCCACAACUAUUGGAUGAAGAAUUAUGAAAUUGAAUUUGGGACUUUAGAUUGCUCUUAUGGAAUUCCCGC